UACAGAGGGUGCGAGCGUUACUCGGAAUUACUGGGCGUAAAGCGUGCGUAGACGGCUAUCUAAGUCGGGUGUGAAAGCCCCGGGCUCAACCUGGGAAUUGCAUUCGAGACUGAAUAGCUAGGGUACGGUAGAGGGAAGUGGAAUUUCCGGUGUAGCGGUGAAAUGCGUAGAUAUCGGAAGGAACAUCAGUGGCGAAAGCGACUUCCUGGACCAGUACCGACGUUCAGGCACGAAAGCGUGGGGAGCAAACAGG
This 253-nucleotide ribosomal RNA is filed under the name uncultured bacterium. RNAcentral describes it as "partial 16S ribosomal RNA". It matches the Rfam family "Bacterial small subunit ribosomal RNA", at positions 524 to 776 of the family's 1533-position model. The record is from RNAcentral.